UGGAAACGGUAGCUAAUACCGCAUAACGUCGCAAGACCAAAGUGGGGGACCUUCGGGCCUCAUGCCAUCAGAUGUGCCCAGAUGGGAUUAGCUAGUAGGUGGGGUAAUGGCUCACCUAGGCGACGAUCCCUAGCUGGUCUGAGAGGAUGACCAGCCACACUGGAACUGAGACACGGUCCAGACUCCUACGGGAGGCAGCAGUGGGGAAUAUUGCACAAUGGGCGCAAGCCUGAUGCAGCCAUGCCGCGUGUGUGAAGAAGGCCUUCGGGUUGUAAAGCACUUUCAGCGGGGAGGAAGGCGUUAAGGUUAAUAACCUUGGCGAUUGACGUUACCCGCAGAAGGAGCACCGGCUAACUCCGUGCCAGCAGCCGCGGUAAUACGGAGGGUGCAAGCGUUAAUCGGAAUUACUGGGCGUAAAGCGCACGCAGGCGGUCUGUCAAGUCGGAUGUGAAAUCCCCGGGCUCAACCUGGGAACUGCAUUCGAAACUGGCAGGCUAGAGUCUUGUAGAGGGGGGUAGAAUUCCAGGUGUAGCGGUGAAAUGCGUAGAGAUCUGGAGGAAUACCGGUGGCGAAGGCGGCCCCCUGGACAAAGACUGACGCUCAGGUGCGAAAGCG
RNAcentral lists this ribosomal RNA (615 nucleotides) under uncultured Enterobacteriaceae bacterium. RNAcentral's name for it is "SSU rRNA". It matches the Rfam family "Bacterial small subunit ribosomal RNA", at positions 151 to 761 of the family's 1533-position model. The record is from RNAcentral. Lineage: Bacteria; Pseudomonadati; Pseudomonadota; Gammaproteobacteria; Enterobacterales; Enterobacteriaceae.